ACGUAGGGUGCGAGCGUUGUCCGGAAUUAUUGGGCGUAAAGGGCUCGUAGGCGGCUUGUCGCGUCUGCUGUGAAAGCCCGGGGCUUAACUCCGGGUCUGCAGUGGAUACGGGCAGGCUAGAGUCCGGCAGGGGAGACUGGAAUUCCUGGUGUAGCGGUGAAAUGCGCAGAUAUCAGGAGGAACACCGAUGGCGAAGGCAGGUCUCUGGGCCACUACUGACGCUGAGAAGCGAAAGCAUGGGGAGCGAACAGGA
RNAcentral lists this ribosomal RNA (253 nucleotides) under uncultured prokaryote. Its description in RNAcentral is "partial 16S ribosomal RNA". It matches the Rfam family "Bacterial small subunit ribosomal RNA", at positions 525 to 777 of the family's 1533-position model. The record is from RNAcentral.